This 266-nucleotide signal recognition particle RNA is filed under the name Peptococcaceae bacterium. Its description in RNAcentral is "signal recognition particle sRNA large type". It matches the Rfam family "Bacterial large signal recognition particle RNA". From Rfam's summary of the family: The signal recognition particle (SRP) is a universally conserved ribonucleoprotein involved in the co-translational targeting of proteins to membranes. The record is from RNAcentral. Lineage: Bacteria; Bacillati; Bacillota; Clostridia; Eubacteriales; Peptococcaceae. RNAcentral also lists the same sequence under 1 other name.
CCGUGCUAGACGGGGAGGUAGCGGUGCCCUGUAACCCGCAAUCCGCUAUAGCGGGGUUGAAGUCCUGCCUGAGGAUGUGACUUGUGGGGUCUGACCUCCGUAAGGGACGUAGACGGUUGGGUCUCGCGCGACGGGGUCUCCCGAACCGUGUCAGGUCCUGGCGGAAGCAGCACUAAGGGAAUCACUCCGGGUGCCGCGAGGGUGCCUGGCCCGAGUUACCUGCGGCAGGUAACGCCCGGAAGUUGCUUUCAAGGGCAGGUGCACGG